UAUAAUGUGGCAUAGUGAUUUGAGUGUUAGACUGUGGCUCAGGAGAUCAGGGUUCAAUUCCCAGCUUGGCAA
This is a non-coding RNA of Phrynosoma platyrhinos (Desert horned lizard), 72 nucleotides long. The record is from the annotation of a GenBank genome assembly. Lineage: Eukaryota; Metazoa; Chordata; Lepidosauria; Squamata; Phrynosomatidae.